Non-coding RNA from Paramuricea clavata, 149 nucleotides. The record is from the annotation of a GenBank genome assembly. NCBI's taxonomy places the organism in Eukaryota, Metazoa, Cnidaria, Anthozoa, Malacalcyonacea, Plexauridae.
GUUCUCCUUUUAUUCCUCCUUUGUUGGACUAAUACUUUCCGAGACUUUGUACUCGAUGUUACUAGUAUACAUGAAACAUGAUAUCAUGGGGACAAAGUACAAAGUCUCGGAAAAUAUUAGUCCAACAAAGGAGGAAUAAAAGGAGAACA